GACGAACGCUGGCGGCGCGCCUAACACAUGCAAGUCGAACGGAGCGGAGAGAAGCUUGCUUUUCUUAGCUUAGUGGCGGACGGGUGAGUAACGCGUGAGUAACCUGCCUCGGAGUGGGGGACAACAGCUGGAAACGACUGCUAAUACCGCAUAAGCUCACGAUCCGGCUUCGGAUUGAGGGAAAAGGAUUUUUUCGCUUCAGGAUGGACUCGUCUCCACUUCGUUAGUUGGUGGGGUAACGGACCACCAAGGCGACGAAGGGUACCCGGGCUGAGAGGUUGGGCGCACACACUGGCGCUGAGACGCGGCCCAGACUCCUACGGGAGGCGGGAGUGGCGGAUAUAGCACAGUGGCGGGAGCCCUGAUGCACCGCCGCCGCGUAGACGAAGAAGGUUUUCAGAUUCUAAACUCCAGUUGUCAAGGCCGGUCUUGACGGUACCUAAUCAGAAAGCACCGGCUAACUACGUG
Molecule: ribosomal RNA, 468 nt
Filed under: uncultured bacterium
Lineage: Bacteria
Description: partial 16S ribosomal RNA
Rfam family: Bacterial small subunit ribosomal RNA
Source: RNAcentral